GGUGAAUGCUGGCGGCGUGCUUAAGACAUGCAAGUCGAACGGGCUCUUCGGAGCCAGUGGCGCACGGGUGAGUAACGCGUAACUGACCUACCCCAAAGUCGCGGAUAACGAUUCGAAAGAAUCGCUAAUACGUGAUGUGCUGUCAGAUCCUGUUCUGCCAGUAAAGAUUUAUUGCUUUGGGAUGGGGUUGCGUUCCAUCAGCUAGUUGGUGGGGUAAAGGCCCACUAAGGCGACGACGGAUCGCCGGCCUGAGAGGGUGGCCGGCCACAGGGGCACUGAGACACGGGUCACACUCCUACGGGAGGCAGCAGUUAGGAAUCUUCCACAAUGGGCGAAAGCCUGAUGGAGCGACGCCGCGUGAGGGAUGAAGGUCUUCGGAUCGUAAACCUCUGAAUCAGGGACGAAAGACGCGAAAGCGGGAUGACGGUACCUGAGUAAUAGCACCGGCUAACUCCGUG
Molecule: ribosomal RNA, 458 nt
Filed under: uncultured bacterium
Lineage: Bacteria
Description: partial 16S ribosomal RNA
Rfam family: Bacterial small subunit ribosomal RNA
Source: RNAcentral